GGUUAAGCGACUAAGCGUACACGGUGGAUGCCCUGGCAGUCAGAGGCGAUGAAGGACGUGCUAAUCUGCGAUAAGCGUCGGUGAGGUGAUAUGAACCGUUAUAACCGGCGAUUUCCGAAUGGGGAAACCCAGUGUGUUUCGACACACUAUCAUUAACUGAAUCCAUAGGUUAAUGAGGCGAACCGGGGGAACUGAAACAUCUAAGUACCCCGAGGAAAAGAAAUCAACCGAGAUUCCCCCAGUAGCGGCGAGCGAACGGGGAGGAGCCCAGAGCCUGAAUCAGUGUGUGUGUUAGUGGAAGCGUCUGGAAAGGCGCGCGAUACAGGGUGACAGCCCCGUACACAAAAAUGCACAUAUUGUGAGCUCGAUGAGUAGGGCGGGACACGUGGUAUCCUGUCUGAAUAUGGGGGGACCAUCCUCCAAGGCUAAAUACUCCUGACUGACCGAUAGUGAACCAGUACCGUGAGGGAAAGGCGAAAAGAACCCCGGCGAGGGGAGUGAAAAAGAACCUGAAACCGUGUACGUACAAGCAGUGGGAGCCUCUUAAUGGGGUGACUGCGUACCUUUUGUAUAAUGGGUCAGCGACUUAUAUUCUGUAGCAAGGUUAACCGAAUAGGGGAGCCGAAGGGAAACCGAGUCUUAACUGGGCGUUAAGUUGCAGGGUAUAGACCCGAAACCCGGUGAUCUAGCCAUGGGCAGGUUGAAGGUUGGGUAACACUAACUGGAGGACCGAACCGACUAAUGUUGAAAAAUUAGCGGAUGACUUGUGGCUGGGGGUGAAAGGCCAAUCAAACCGGGAGAUAGCUGGUUCUCCCCGAAAGCUAUUUAGGUAGCGCCUCGUGAAUUCAUCUCCGGGGGUAGAGCACUGUUUCGGCAAGGGGGUCAUCCCGACUUACCAACCCGAUGCAAACUGCGAAUACCGGAGAAUGUUAUCACGGGAGACACACGGCGGGUGCUAACGUCCGUCGUGAAGAGGGAAACAACCCAGACCGCCAGCUAAGGUCCCAAAGUCAUGGUUAAGUGGGAAACGAUGUGGGAAGGCCCAGACAGCCAGGAUGUUGGCUUAGAAGCAGCCAUCAUUUAAAGAAAGCGUAAUAGCUCACUGGUCGAGUCGGCCUGCGCGGAAGAUGUAACGGGGCUAAACCAUGCACCGAAGCUGCGGCAGCGACACUAUGUGUUGUUGGGUAGGGGAGCGUUCUGUAAGCCUGUGAAGGUGGCCUGUGAGGGUUGCUGGAGGUAUCAGAAGUGCGAAUGCUGACAUAAGUAACGAUAAAGCGGGUGAAAAGCCCGCUCGCCGGAAGACCAAGGGUUCCUGUCCAACGUUAAUCGGGGCAGGGUGAGUCGACCCCUAAGGCGAGGCCGAAAGGCGUAGUCGAUGGGAAACAGGUUAAUAUUCCUGUACUUGGUGUUACUGCGAAGGGGGGACGGAGAAGGCUAUGUUGGCCGGGCGACGGUUGUCCCGGUUUAAGCGUGUAGGCUGGUUUUCCAGGCAAAUCCGGAAAACCAAGGCUGAGGCGUGAUGACGAGGCACUACGGUGCUGAAGCGACAAAUGCCCUGCUUCCAGGAAAAGCCUCUAAGCAUCAGGUAACAUCAAAUCGUACCCCAAACCGACACAGGUGGUCAGGUAGAGAAUACCAAGGCGCUUGAGAGAACUCGGGUGAAGGAACUAGGCAAAAUGGUGCCGUAACUUCGGGAGAAGGCACGCUGAUAUGUAGGUGAAGCGACUUGCUCGUGGAGCUGAAAUCAGUCGAAGAUACCAGCUGGCUGCAACUGUUUAUUAAAAACACAGCACUGUGCAAACACGAAAGUGGACGUAUACGGUGUGACGCCUGCCCGGUGCCGGAAGGUUAAUUGAUGGGGUUAGCGGUAACGCGAAGCUCUUGAUCGAAGCCCCGGUAAACGGCGGCCGUAACUAUAACGGUCCUAAGGUAGCGAAAUUCCUUGUCGGGUAAGUUCCGACCUGCACGAAUGGCGUAAUGAUGGCCAGGCUGUCUCCACCCGAGACUCAGUGAAAUUGAACUCGCUGUGAAGAUGCAGUGUACCCGCGGCAAGACGGAAAGACCCCGUGAACCUUUACUAUAGCUUGACACUGAACAUUGAGCCUUGAUGUGUAGGAUAGGUGGGAGGCUUUGAAGUGUGGACGCCAGUCUGCAUGGAGCCGACCUUGAAAUACCACCCUUUAAUGUUUGAUGUUCUAACGUGGGCCCCUAAUC
This 2214-nucleotide ribosomal RNA is filed under the name Escherichia coli. Its description in RNAcentral is "partial 23S ribosomal RNA". It matches the Rfam family "Bacterial large subunit ribosomal RNA", at positions 1 to 2240 of the family's 2925-position model. Lineage: Bacteria; Pseudomonadati; Pseudomonadota; Gammaproteobacteria; Enterobacterales; Enterobacteriaceae. The record is from RNAcentral.